This 489-nucleotide ribosomal RNA is filed under the name uncultured bacterium. RNAcentral's name for it is "bacterial SSU rRNA". It matches the Rfam family "Bacterial small subunit ribosomal RNA", at positions 30 to 507 of the family's 1533-position model. The record is from RNAcentral.
AUUGAACGCUGGCGGCAGGCCUAACACAUGCAAGUCGAGCGGAAACGAUCCUAGCUUGCUAGGAGGCGUCGAGCGGCGGACGGGUGAGUAACGCGUGAGAAUCUACCCAUGAGUGGGGGACAACCCGGGGGAAACUCGGGCUAAUACCGCAUACGCCCUACGGGGUAAAGCAGGGGACCUUCGGGCCUUGCGCUGAUGGAUGAGCUCGCGUCGGAUUAGCUUGUUGGUGAGGUAAAGGCUCACCAAGGCGACGAUCCGUAGCUGGUCUGAGAGGAUGAUCAGCCACACCGGGACUGAGACACGGCCCGGACUCCUACGGGAGGCAGCAGUGGGGAAUCUUGGACAAUGGGGGCAACCCUGAUCCAGCCAUGCCGCGUGUGUGAAGAAGGCCUUAGGGUUGUAAAGCACUUUCAGCAGUGAGGAAGGCUUACCCCUAAUACGGGUGAGUACUUGACGUUACCUGCAGAAGAAGCACCGGCUAAUUUCGUG